GUUCUUGCUCAGCAGCACAUAUACUGUAAGUGGAGUGAUAUGGGAAGAUUAGCAUGGCCCCUGUACAAGGGUAAAACAUGAAAAUUCAUGAAGCAUUUCAUGCUUUU
RNAcentral lists this small nuclear RNA (107 nucleotides) under Catagonus wagneri (Chacoan peccary). Lineage: Eukaryota; Metazoa; Chordata; Mammalia; Artiodactyla; Tayassuidae. The record is from RNAcentral.